GCCGUAGUGGCGGAACUGGCAGACGCACAGGACUUAAAAUCCUGCGGUCGCAAGACCGUACCGGUUCGAUUCCGGUCUUCGGCA
RNAcentral lists this transfer RNA (84 nucleotides) under Vallitaleaceae bacterium. It matches the Rfam family "tRNA". From Rfam's summary of the family: Transfer RNA (tRNA) molecules are approximately 80 nucleotides in length. Lineage: Bacteria; Bacillati; Bacillota; Clostridia; Lachnospirales; Vallitaleaceae. The record is from Rfam by way of RNAcentral.